ACGGGAGGCAGCAGUGGGGAAUAUUGCACAAUGGGCGCAAGCCUGAUGCAGCAACGCCGCGUGAGCGAUGAAGGUCUUCGGAUCGUAAGGCUCUGUCCUUGGGGACGAAGAAAGUGACGGUACCUAAGGAGGAAGCCCCGGCUAACUACGUGCCAGCAGCCGCGGUAAUACGUAGGGGGCGAGCGUUAUCCGGAAUUAUUGGGCGUAAAGAGUACGUAGGUGGUUUAGUAAGCGUGAGGUGAAAGCCCGGGGCUUAACUCCGGCGAGCCUCAUGAACUGCAAGACAUGAGUGCAGGAGGGGUAAGUGGAAUUCCUGGUGUAGCGGUGAAAUGCGUAGAUAUCAGGAAGAACACCGGUGGCGAAGGCGACUUACUGGACUGUAACUGACACUGAGGUACGAAAGCGUGGGGAGCAAACAGGAUUAGAUACCCUGGUA
RNAcentral lists this ribosomal RNA (436 nucleotides) under uncultured Anaerovorax sp. Its description in RNAcentral is "partial 16S ribosomal RNA". It matches the Rfam family "Bacterial small subunit ribosomal RNA", at positions 341 to 792 of the family's 1533-position model. Lineage: Bacteria; Bacillati; Bacillota; Clostridia; Peptostreptococcales; Anaerovoracaceae. The record is from RNAcentral.